Molecule: RNA transcript, 4617 nt
Organism: Diabrotica virgifera virgifera (western corn rootworm)
Lineage: Eukaryota; Metazoa; Arthropoda; Insecta; Coleoptera; Chrysomelidae
Exons: 2
Source: RefSeq, a predicted model, not a curated record
AAGAAGUGCCAACCUCCAUUUUGGAAGAAGAAGUUAUUGAAGCUUCUUCUAGUCGUUCAGAUAAAUCUUAUGAACCCAGUGAAAAUGAAACAAGUUCAAGUGAAAAUGAAAAUGAAGUAGUAGAAGAGCUACAAAAUAACACUCCAAUGCAAACCCCUUCACGGAUACGCAGAAAGAGACGUCAUGUAGAUCAAAAGGAAUGGAAGAAAAAUAGAAAUAAGAUUUUGAGACAAGAAGGAAAGGAAUAUUUUGGAAAACAAAAGCAAGAAGAAAAAUGGAAUUAUGAUAUUUAAAAAAAAGCAAAAGCUAUAGGACCGAGAUGAAAAUGCAGUGGUAAAUCAGUAAUGAAUAAUGGGAAAUCAGUAAUGAAGUGCAAUGAGAUAACAGAAGAUCAAAGAACAGAAAUUUUUACAAGAUUUUGGAAUUUUUUGUGGAACGAAAAACAAUUGUUUCUAAGGACGCUGGUUGAAAAGAAAAGUACUUCAAGAGCUAGGGAUCGAAAAAUAGAGAACGAGUCAAGAAGGGAAUUUUCCUAUAUAUAUUUUCUUCAAACAACAUCCAAGAUAAGAGUGUGCAAAACAAUGUUUUGCAAUACUCUUUCAGUUGCACCAAGAACUGUUGCACAUUGGUUGAUUGAAAAAAAUAAAUCACAACACACUGCAAAUGAUUUGGUGGAUUAUGACCUUAAUGAUACGCGUGAUAAUAAUUCCUCCCAAAUAGUUAUUCCUAGAAAAGCGAAAAUCGACAAACAAAAAGAAAAUUUUUGCAAUUUCUUUACAGUUCUUCCAAAACUAGAGUCACAUUAUUGUCGAAAGAGCACAAAGAAAUUAUACCUUGAAAGAUCUUGGCAAACAAAAAUGGAAUUAUACCGGUUUUAUAAGAAUGACUGGUGUACAAAAAACGAUUCACAACCGCUAUCUAUUGCAGCAUUUAAUAACAGUUUCGACGAUUUUAAUUUAGCACUUUUUUCACCUAAAAAGGACGAAUGUGAUACGUGUGUGGGUUACAAGACUGGUAAUAUUGACGAAGCUACCUAUCAAGAACAUCAGAAGAAAAAGGAGGAGGCACGAAAGGAAAAAGAGGUUGACAAAACAAAAGAAGAUGUAAAAGUUUUUUCAAUGGAUUUGCAAUCAGUUCUACUGAGUCCAAAAUCUAAUGUCAGCGCUCUAUAUUAUAAAACAAAAUUAAUAGUCCAUAAUUUUACAAUUAUGGACAUUAAAUCCUUGGAUGGAUAUUGUUUCCUCUGGCAUGAGGGUCAUGCUGGACUAACUGCCAACACAUUUGCUACCAUCAUUUACAAGUUUUUAGAGACUAAUAUUAUACCCCAAAAAAACUCUACUAGUAAAGUCAUUUUGUACAGUGAUGGCUGCACUGGACAAAACAGAAAUGCAAUUCUUGCCAAUGCACUUUUCAACUUUGCACAAAAGCAUGGGAUUACAAUUGAGCAAAAAUUUUUAGAAAAAGGGCAUACGCAAAUGGAGUGCGAUUCAAUGCACUCCACAAUCGAGCGAAAACUAAAAAACCGAGUCAUAAAUGUCCCAGCAGACUAUGUCAAUAUUUGUCAAACUGCUCGUAUAAAUCCGAAACCCUACGUGGUGGAGUACUUGGAUCAUACAUAUUUCAAAAACUUUCAAGAAGUUCAAUACAUUAGUUCCAUCCGUCCUGGUAGAUCGUCAGGUGAUCCUACUGUAACAAACAUUAGAGCACUUCAGUAUAAUGAACACGGAAUUCUCUUUAAAAUCAGGCAUACAGAAGAAUGGAUGCCUUUGCCUUACAGAAUCACGAAAAAAGAUAAAAAAAUCUGGAAUUUAGAAGAGUUGCCGUUAAUGUAUCCGACUCCAAUACCAAUUAAAUCGGAAAAAUUUCAACACUUAAUGGACCUUAAAUCGUCAAUUCCUAAGGACUUUCAUUUUUUUUAUGAUAACUUACCACAUUUGUAAAAUGCCUCUUUCUUUUUGUCUUUUGUCUUGUGUUGCCGUCUUUAAAUUUUUUUUAUACUUAAGUUGCACAAUUAAUUAGAUUAUUGCCUAUCUCCUGAUGCCAACCCAUGCUCAGGGAACGCAUAUUACCUAACUCCCAAUUUUUCAAGAAUAAAGCCUAUUUUUGACAAGAGCAAGUAUUUUCUAUGUUGUAGCAUUAAACAAAAUAAAAUAUUUUGGAAACUUAGGCCGACGAUAAAGGUAUAAGUACACUGCGCGUCAUUAAAAAGAGGCCACCUAAAAUUUUUGGCAUUUUUUAAUUUUUACAAAUCAUACCAGAAAGUGAUUGUCAUUAGAUGUUUGUGUAAUAUUUAAGAAUAUGUUCUAAAGCAGUAUGCAAUCAUUUUUUAAAUAAAAAAUGUCAAAAAAAGUAACUUUUUCCAAAAGAAUGAUUUUAUUGAAAAAUAAAAGAAAUUAACAUUGUACAUUUUUUCUGUUUUAUUUAUAAAAAUUACAAUUAACUCGUGAUUAUUAAUACUGUGUAUUACCACCUCUAUUGUGAAUUACACUCCUCAUUCGAUUUGGCAUUGAAUUAAUCAAAUUCUGGAUGUCGUUUUGAGGAAAAGCUUCCCAUUCUUCCAUGAGCGCCAACCGAAGCUGCUCACGAUUUAUUGGAGCAGGUAUUCUGUUUCUUACCCUUCGUUUGAGUUGGUCAGAAACAUGUUCAAUCGGGUUCAAAUCUGGAAUUUGAGCCGGAAAGUUCAUUUUUGGCACACCCACAGUUUCCAGGUAUUGCGAUACCAUCCUGGCUACGUGUGGCCGCGCGUUGUCUUGCAUAAAAAUAAACUUUUCGCCGACAAACCCAGCAAAAGGCAUUACAUGCUCAUCUAAAAUUUCGGUAAUGUAUCGGUGAGCAUUCAACGCUCCUCUAUCAAUAAAUACGAGAUCAGUACGGCCUUCGAAUGAAAUGCCUGCCCAAAACAUUACCGAACCUCCUCCAAAAGCAACACGUACUCGUCGAACACAAGCAGCAUAUCGUUCCCCACGUCUUCUGUAUGUUUUGAUACGACCAUCUGAGCCAUAAAGAACCAUCCUAGACUCAUCACUAAACAAAACAUUUUUCCAAUAUUCUAUCGUCCAAUGCUCGUGGUCUCUAGCAAACUGUAGUCGGCGUUGUCGAUGUGCUGCUGUUAACAAAGGUCCUGUUGCUGGACAGCGAGCCCUUAGACCAAAUUCCCUCAACGUUCUUCUCACGGUAGAAGUGCGUAAUGUCCAUCCGUGAGCAUUUUGAAAACUUUUUUCGAUUACUCUAGCCGUAAAGAACUGAUUUUGCAAAGAAGUGCGUUGUAAAGAACGGUCUUCUCUGGCCGUCGUGAUUCUUCUCAGGCCUGAUCCUGGUCGUCAUUCGUGAGAUCCAGUCUCUACGAAUCGUUGGUAAGUUUUUUGGACCAUACAACAACUAACUCCAAGCUGUCUGGCCACUUCUCUUUGGCUUAUUCCAUUACCAAUUAAAGUAACAAUUUGAACAGCUCUAGCAAAUUUCUCAGCCAUAGUUUUAAAUUUAAAAAUUGCACAAGUUUACUCUUACAACAACUGUACUCUAGUGAAAGGUUUGUGAAAAACAAAAUAGCCAUAUUUCAAGAAAAAUAAGGUACAAACAACACAUGCAUUAUCCGAAGUCGUAAAACUGAUAUCAAUUUUGCAAACUUAUUACCCUUAAUUGACCUGUCGGCACCGUUUGUCGGUACCUAAAAGACGCUAAAAGUGUUUCUGCAUUGUGGAAAUUUAGUUACAAUAGAAUAAAUUGUAUAAACUUAAAGUUAUUGAAAAAUUCUUACAAAAUUCUAGGUGGCCUCUUUUUCGUGACGCGCAGUGUAUAAUAAUUGCAUUUGUAUCGACAAUUUAGGUUUCAAGGUUAACUGCCUUUUACCUCAUGCGAACGAAAGCGAAAGCGAAUGGCCAAUAAUGUGAUUUUAUAACACAGGUUAUGCUUAUGCGGGAACGAUGGUCGGCCGGCAUUUUUACACACAGGGUUCAUCGUUCCUUAGCGAAGGAAUGACUUUACAGCGUGUAAGUAGGUAUCUUCUAUAUAAAUUCAGCAUUUAAUAAUUUUUAGCAUCAGUUCUUCUACAUUAUUAGCAAGAUGCCAAAACGUAACGGAGUACAAAACAUAAAAGCGAAAAAACAAAAAGUAGAAAAAGUUUCGGUGCUGGAGCAACUGUUGAAUAAACCACAAGCUGUUGACCUGACUCUGGAAAACCAGGAUCUGCUGGACCUUUUUGGACUGUUUGACGUGGAAGCAUCCUCCUCCACUUCACCAAUUCCAGCCACGGCAACUAGAGCCUCAGCAACUCCAGCCGCAGCAACUAGAGCCUCAGCAACUCCAAAUUCAGAAACCUCGGUCUGUUUCAAUUAUAAAAAACAUGGAAAUUACCGACCAACAAAUUAAUGUGAAAUACCAAGAGACCUACUCCAAUUUUCAGGAUUGGGGUCUCCAAUUUGACAAACUGAAAAAAAUGGAGGAUGAAAGAAUUGAGAGAGAAAUCAGAAUAAGGGAAAUAAUUAAAGUUCCAAAGGAGCUGGAGCAAGAGCCAAUAACGUUAAACCAAGAACAACAAAAUUUCGAAAAAAUAUUUAAUUUAGUUCACAAAAAUUUGUUAAAUAUUAAUUUUUAUUUUAAAUAAAUUUAUGUUAUAUA